UACGGAGGGGGCUAGCGUUGUUCGGAAUUACUGGGCGUAAAGCGCGCGUAGGCGGACCUGCAAGUCGGGGGUGAAAUCCCAAGGCUCAACCUUGGAACUGCCUUUGAUACUGGGGAUCUCGAGUCCGGAAGAGGUGAGUGGAACUGCGAGUGUAGAGGUGAAAUUCGUAGAUAUUCGCAAGAACACCAGUGGCGAAGGCGGCUCACUGGUCCGGUACUGACACUGAGGUGCGAAAGCGUGGGGAGCAAACAGG
RNAcentral lists this ribosomal RNA (253 nucleotides) under uncultured bacterium. RNAcentral describes it as "partial 16S ribosomal RNA". It matches the Rfam family "Bacterial small subunit ribosomal RNA", at positions 524 to 776 of the family's 1533-position model. The record is from RNAcentral.